Molecule: long non-coding RNA, 79 nt
Filed under: Ailuropoda melanoleuca (giant panda)
Lineage: Eukaryota; Metazoa; Chordata; Mammalia; Carnivora; Ursidae
Description: lncRNA (ENSAMEG00000023480.1)
Source: RNAcentral
UUGUCUGCGUGAACCUCCCUGAGUCUUGGCACAGCUCGCUUCUAAGUUUAGAAAUGACUCAUCAUACCUGAAGCCUGUG